This 23-nucleotide unclassified non-coding RNA is filed under the name Mus musculus (house mouse). RNAcentral's name for it is "oocyte_clustered_small_RNA11697". The record is from RNAcentral. Lineage: Eukaryota; Metazoa; Chordata; Mammalia; Rodentia; Muridae.
UAAGGACAGACGGGCAUGUGUUG